AGGCCUUCGACCCACACGAAGGUCGGUAAAACGCUCCCGAACAUUGCCCACCACUCUCUGAUUAUAAUAUAUUUAUAAUUAGAGACUCGAGAGGUCAGGUAUGCGAAAAGUCACGAUAGCUAAUGAUGAGUUGUCUGGGGAAGCCAAACGGUCUAUCCUCGAUUCUCGAAACGCUGUACGCCUUUCCAUGCCUGGUCUCACCUUGAGUAUUUAUUAGCCGCCCUUGGGGAACGUGCAUCUACACCUAUAAAAACCCCCUCUUCCCCCUCAUUAUCACUUUUCCAGAAUCUUCUCACCACAGAAUCUCUGUUCAAAUUUUUCCGGCAAGAGCGAUUUCCGGCGAGUACUCCGUUCUUAAUUCCUUCUUAUUCCUGCUGAUUUCAACCAUUCCACUUGCUUUCGAGCUUCAUUCUUGUCCACUUUCUUCCUAAAAGUUCACAUCUGUGUCUCAUUCCCUUCCAAUCGCCCCCAAAUGGCUGAUUCUAGCACUCCUCUUCCUGUCAGUGAGUCAAUUCCUCCAUCCGUCACCACCGGUGACCUGAUUCCGGCCGAUCUGCCGGUGACUCCU
This 568-nucleotide long non-coding RNA is filed under the name Panax ginseng (ginseng). RNAcentral's name for it is "long non-coding RNA (PGIN_LNC011831)". Lineage: Eukaryota; Viridiplantae; Streptophyta; Magnoliopsida; Apiales; Araliaceae. The record is from RNAcentral.